RNAcentral lists this ribosomal RNA (460 nucleotides) under uncultured bacterium. RNAcentral's name for it is "partial 16S ribosomal RNA". It matches the Rfam family "Bacterial small subunit ribosomal RNA", at positions 338 to 795 of the family's 1533-position model. The record is from RNAcentral.
CCUACGGGUGGCAGCAGUGAGGAAUAUUGGUCAAUGGACGAGAGUCUGAACCAGCCAAGUAGCGUGAAGGAUGACUGCCCUAUGGGUUGUAAACUUCUUUUAUAAAGGAAUAAAACGAGGCACGUGUGCCUUUUUGCAUGUACUUUAUGAAUAAGGAUCGGCUAACUCCGUGCCAGCAGCCGCGGUAAUACGGAGGAUCCGAGCGUUAUCCGGAUUUAUUGGGUUUAAAGGGAGCGUAGAUGGGUUGUUAAGUCAGUUGUGAAAGUUUGCGGCUCAACCGUAAAAUUGCAAUUGAUACUGGCAGUCUUGAGUACAGAUGAGGUAGGCGGAAUUCGUGGUGUAGCGGUGAAAUGCUUAGAUAUCACGAAGAACCCCGAUUGCGAAGGCAGCUCACUAAACUGUGACUGACAUUGAUGCUCGAAAGUGUGGGUAUCAAACAGGAUUAGAUACCCGGGUAGUC